Molecule: ribosomal RNA, 722 nt
Filed under: Bacillus subtilis
Lineage: Bacteria; Bacillati; Bacillota; Bacilli; Caryophanales; Bacillaceae
Description: bacterial SSU rRNA
Rfam family: Bacterial small subunit ribosomal RNA
Source: RNAcentral
UAAUGCAGUCGAGCGGACAGAUGGGAGCUUGCUCCCUGAUGUUAGCGGCGGACGGGUGAGUAACACGUGGGUAACCUGCCUGUAAGACUGGGAUAACUCCGGGAAACCGGGGCUAAUACCGGAUGGUUGUUUGAACCGCAUGGUUCAAACAUAAAAGGUGGCUUCGGCUACCACUUACAGAUGGACCCGCGGCGCAUUAGCUAGUUGGUGAGGUAACGGCUCACCAAGGCAACGAUGCGUACCCGACCUGAGAGGGUGAUCGGCCACACUGGGACUGAGACACGGCCCAGACUCCUACGGGAGGCAGCAGUAGGGAAUCUUCCGCAAUGGACGAAAGUCUGACGGAGCAACGCCGCGUGAGUGAUGAAGGUUUUCGGAUCGUAAAGCUCUGUUGUUAGGGAAGAACAAGUACCGUUCGAAUAGGGCGGUACCUUGACGGUACCUAACCAGAAAGCCACGGCUAACUACGUGCCAGCAGCCGCGGUAAUACGUAGGUGGCAAGCGUUGUCCGGAAUUAUUGGGCGUAAAGGGCUCGCAGGCGGUUUCUUAAGUCUGAUGUGAAACCCCCCGGCUCAACCGGGGAGGGUCAUUGGAAACUGGGGGAACUUGAGUGCAGAAGAGGAGAGUGCAAUUCCACGUGUAGCGGUGAAAUGCGUAGAGAUGUGGAGGACACCAGUGGCGAAGGCGACUCUCUGGUCUGUAACUGACGCUGAGGAGCGAAG